This is a long non-coding RNA of Macrosteles quadrilineatus (aster leafhopper), 1714 nucleotides long. RefSeq lists it as uncharacterized. The record is from RefSeq and is a predicted model, not a curated record. NCBI's taxonomy places the organism in Eukaryota, Metazoa, Arthropoda, Insecta, Hemiptera, Cicadellidae. The transcript has 2 exons.
UAGUUGGCAAUACUGAUUUUUACUUUGCUGCAUUACUGGUCCGCGGUCUGCGUGUACUGUUGACCAAGUGACACCCGGUCUAUGUGUUUAAAAUGUAUACCUCUACCUUGGGCCGUGACAAUGAACUGUAAUGUUACAUAUGUAUGUGUUAAUAUUCCCUUUUUUACAAGAAACAGACAUAAUAAAAUAUGACAAUGGGUUUCAAUUGGCACCAAUGAAAGUGAGAGUUUUAUGAUGGGUUGCCAGGGUUUCAAUGUCCCCAUGUUUUCUAAAGCUUUUUUUAAAGAAAUGGUUAAUAAUUUCAACCUGUAUCUUGUUACUAUCUAACUUGGAAGAUAUUAUUACUAUAACUCUGUAUCUUCGAUUUAGAUGGAUUCAAUAUGAGUUAUUUACAUUGACUUUUAACUACAAGACUUUUUUUGUAAAAUGUUUAGCGUGUUUUGAUGUGUGUGUUUCACCCCUUCAUGUUGUGUAAAAUUUUAGUGUGUUAAAUCCAAUUAUACUCAUUUAAAAUUGUUUUAAUGUUUGUAUACUAUUUCACAUUUUGUAUUGUUUUAUGCAACUUAGUAUAUUUACGUCUAGUCAAUAUAGAUAAAGUUAAUAUUCUAGAUAACUACCUAUUGAUUAAAUCACCUUUAGAGUUGAAUUAUUUCACAAAUAUGAUAUAAAUAUAACUCUUAAGUUUGCCUUUUUGUAUGUAUGCAAUAUGUGUAAACUUUCAUUUUCAUUUCAGACUGAAAAACAAGAAACUGCAAAGACAGAUAGUAAAUGAUGUUGGUGAAGAACCACCAACAUUGAAGGUGGUGCAAGGCAAGAACUUUCUUCUCUGCUCCGAGAGUUAACAGGACACAGAGGAUGCAAGAGUUGUGCAGCUGGAUGUGUGUUAUAUCUGCGAUUAUGUGAUAUUUACAUUUAAUUAUUUUAAUAAUGUACACAUAAACAGAACUCCACAGAUCAAGUUGAUUUUGGGAAUGUAUAGCUUCCUACCCACUUUGCUUAUACCUAAAUAUAUAUUGUCAUGUUAGACUUUUCUUAGGCUUCAGAGCAUAACUUUUACCAAGGAUCUGUUUUUAAUAUAUUUCACUUACCAAAAGAAAAGUAUUUAUCUUCACAGGUGGACAAAAUUUGCCAUUGACAGAUGUAGUUGAAUGAUUUAAGACAGUUUUAUAAUUAACAAUUUUAACAUUUAAACAAAGAAUAUUUUACAAAUUUAACAGUUAUUACUUUUUUGUUAUGAUGAAGUUUUUAACAUAAGAAAAUAGUAUAUUUUGUAAAAAAACGAAACAGCUAAAAACAACGUAGUGUGAUGAAAAACUUUUUUUUUUACUACACUACCGUGAAAUUAACUGUUUUUUGCCUAUGUUUAUCACCUGCAAAAUUCAUUAUUACAUUGUUUACUAUGCAAAAAAGAAUGUUUACAAUGCAAAAAUAAUAUUUACUACCUUUUUGGAUUUUUUUGGCAUAAACAAACAAACAUUUGUUAUUAUUUCAUCAGUGGUUUCAAUUUGCAACAACCAAAAAUGUACAAUCAAUGUAAAUUUAAACUUUAAGAUUAAAUAGAAGGCCAAGCCUUAAAAAUGCUAUUAUAGUUCGGCCGCUUAGAAAACGACCUGCGCGCUAAUGCUAAACCAAUGCUGGAGGAGGUCGCUUUCUAAGCGGCAGAAAUAUAGUUUUUAAAUGUUCAAGAAAAAAAAUAAAUAUUCCAAUAUCUGCA